Molecule: ribosomal RNA, 253 nt
Filed under: uncultured bacterium
Lineage: Bacteria
Description: partial 16S ribosomal RNA
Rfam family: Bacterial small subunit ribosomal RNA
Source: RNAcentral
UACAGAGGGGGCAAGCGUUGUUCGGAAUUACUGGGCGUAAAGGGCGCGUAGGCGGCCUGCUAAGUCGAACGUGAAAUCCCUGGGCUCAACCCAGGAACUGCGUCCGAUACUGGUUGGCUUGAAUCCGGGAGAGGGAUGUGGAAUUCCAGGUGUAGCGGUGAAAUGCGUAGAUAUCUGGAGGAACACCGGUGGCGAAGGCGGCCCCCUGGGCCGUACCUGACGCUGAGGCGCGAAGGCUAGGGGAGCGAACGGG